UACAGAGGUCUCAAGCGUUGUUCGGAUUCAUUGGGCGUAAAGGGUGCGUAGGUGGCGCCAUAAGUCAGGUGUGAAAUCUCGGGGCUCAACCCCGAAACUGCAUUUGAUACUGUGGUGCUCGAGUACUGGAGAGGAGAUUGGAAUUUACGGUGUAGCAGUGAAAUGCGUAGAUAAUCGUAAGGAAGACCAGUGGCGAAGGCGAAUCUCUGGACAGUUACUGACACUGAGGCACGAAGGCCAGGGGAGCAAACGGG
RNAcentral lists this ribosomal RNA (254 nucleotides) under uncultured bacterium. RNAcentral describes it as "partial 16S ribosomal RNA". It matches the Rfam family "Bacterial small subunit ribosomal RNA", at positions 524 to 776 of the family's 1533-position model. The record is from RNAcentral.